GACAAGCAACUACGCCAACCUUUCAAAUAGCCAUAUAUUCAAAUUUAUGGUUUUAAUAGCCACCGUGUCCAUUCUGCCCAAACCCAAACUAACAUCUAAUACCCUAAGUUACUAUUAAGCCCUGAAGCCAUCUUCUUCUGCGAGAAAUAAAAAUUUGUUCCAGAUUCCAUCUUCUUCUCCGAGAAAUACAAUCUUUUCCAGCACCACCGUGUCAAAUCUCUCCGAUCAAUUCAACUAAAAAAUGAGACGAUUGACCCCGACAUAGACCAAUUUUAACUCAAAUACAUCAUUUGUUUUACUAAUUGAAAAACUCCAAGUUGCUGAGAAACAGCCAUCUUCGUUGUUUUCUCUCUAGUGUUCUUGCUUGAAGAAAACAAGUAUCAUCUCUCACUUCUCAAGAACAAACCCAUAAAAGUGAUCUAUGGGUUGACUUGUUUGAUUUUUUUUUUUAAUUCUUCUCUUUGUUAUGAUGCUAAUUGGGUAAAGUUAGGGUUUUUCCUAGGUCUACAUCAGAUCCAUAAUGUUUCUGCUACUGGAAUUGAUAACAAAUAAUAAAUUGGAGGAGGGUGGUGGUGGUAACCGUGGGGGAUGAAAUUAAAAGAGGUGGUCGUGAUUAGGGAGCAAGUAAGCAAGUAAUCAGAUGCAAAAAAUGAUAGCAUGGCCGAAAAAAUAUUUGGAGAGAUAAAGGAGGGUGAUUCGGUUAUCGUAGAUGUGAUGGUGAUGGAAAUGUGACAUUGCUUAAUGGUAGUAACAGUGAGAUUCCCGACGCACUUACCCCAUCAAUUCCUGUGUAAAUCAAAUCCCCUCUCGGAUAGAGCUUUUGCGCACAUGGUGUCUAGACUUAUUUAGCUAAAUUUCAAGCAGGUAUAGUAGCAGUGUAUUUACAUUAAAAAGGCUACACAUAUACAACAACUUAAUUUAGUGGAGGAACCUGUGAUACUUUUUGAUGAACCUUGUGCUAUAGUUAAUCCAACAACCAUAGCUAAUAAUAACGCAUUAUCCACAAAAAGUACAAGAUGCACUUGAGUGCAUAAUACAUAUUCUGACAACAAAAUAAAUUUUGGUCAAUUUGCACCCAAGGACAUAACGAAUAUAUUUUUGAAUUUUUGUUAUUUCAUUUUCUUUCUUUGAUACUUGUUUUUA
Molecule: long non-coding RNA, 1143 nt
Organism: Papaver somniferum (opium poppy)
Lineage: Eukaryota; Viridiplantae; Streptophyta; Magnoliopsida; Ranunculales; Papaveraceae
Exons: 3
Source: RefSeq, a predicted model, not a curated record